UGGCUAUUCAGACCUCUGCUGACAAUUGA
RNAcentral lists this non-coding RNA (29 nucleotides) under Rattus norvegicus (Norway rat). Lineage: Eukaryota; Metazoa; Chordata; Mammalia; Rodentia; Muridae. The record is from RNAcentral.